Lutra lutra (Eurasian river otter) is the source of this 73-nucleotide non-coding RNA. Lineage: Eukaryota; Metazoa; Chordata; Mammalia; Carnivora; Mustelidae. The record is from the annotation of a RefSeq genome assembly.
GCCUGGCUGGCUUAGUCGGUAGAGUGUGUGGCUCCUAAUCUCAGGGUCAUGAGUUCAAGCCCCAUGCUGGGCG